Molecule: long non-coding RNA, 522 nt
Filed under: Mytilus galloprovincialis (Mediterranean mussel)
Lineage: Eukaryota; Metazoa; Mollusca; Bivalvia; Mytilida; Mytilidae
Source: RNAcentral
GUCCUGAAUAUGCAUUAAGUAUUUGCCACUGGAGUUAAGCAACCAACAAUCAAUCAAUCUAGGUCAUUUUUAAAGGAAUAGAUGUCCACAGUACACUGAAACCUCACUAUCAUGGUGUUACUAACUUACUUGUAUCAAGUGGUGUCAAUCUACUGCUUGUGAUGGUGUUAUCAAUGGUGAUAGGGCUGUCAAUGACCUGCUACUACCAGACCUCAUUGUUGAGGGUGAUACACUUGAUCACCUGUCAAGCUUCUGUUGAGUGGUAUAAAUGACGAUUCUGUUCUGAAAUCUAAAUUAAAUAAAAAAAAAAAAUAAAUAAAAAAUAAACAAAUCAAUUUCAGACUCCUUUAUAUAGUAAAAUAGGACAGUAUGCAUACUAAAUAAACUCAUCAUAGAUACCAGGACUAAAAUUUGUAUAACGCCAGACGCGUGUUUCGUCUACAAAAGACUCAUCAGUGACGCUCGAAUCCAAAAAAGUUAAAAAGGUAAAAAAAGUACGAAGUUGAAGAGCUUUGAGGACCA